This 741-nucleotide long non-coding RNA is filed under the name Marmota monax (woodchuck). The record is from RNAcentral. Lineage: Eukaryota; Metazoa; Chordata; Mammalia; Rodentia; Sciuridae.
UUUAGCCCAGUUAUCUUGUUUUUUCUAAAUAUUGAUAUUAUUUAAAAGAAAUUGUAGUAAGUUGAUAUUUUCAAAAGUGCAUUUUUCAGAGCACUAACCCUUGCCUACAUGCUUGAAAAAAUAAAUUUCCAAAAUCGAAUGUUUUAUAAAACAUGUACUUUUAUUUACCUUUCUUAGAGCUUCAUAGUUUACAUUGGUGUAUAAAGGUUCUGAGAAAUUCUGUGAUAAACUUGUUUAACUUUGCUUAUCUGACUAGUUCCCAUAUUUAUUUAACUAUGGGAACCUCUUUUUGCAUAACAUCUACUAAUAUGCCCGGGACCUAGUGUUUCACAGAACACAGGUAAGUAACUGUUAUGGGAGACAUUAUAAAUUGCUUUAAAAGAGACAUUUUUAGCAUUCCUGAUAUCUAUAGCAAAACAAUUUUAGUUUCACUAUAUUUAGGAAUCCCCAGAGGAGGAUUUUAUGUAUCACAGAUGACUGCUAUCACCACAACCGUCUUGGCCAAGCUACUCCUGGCUACCCAGCUUACUACCUCUUGCUUUCUCUUAACUGAUUUCUCCAGGAUUCUCCUCUUGAUUUUACCACUUCUCUUCUGAGGAUUCUCCAAUAAUUUCCCAAAGAAUGAAAAAUAAAAUAGUGUUUACUAAAACAUUUCUGAUAACUUGGAGAUAACAGGUGUAUUACAUAGAUUCCCUCACACUGGCUUCUAAAUGUAACUGAUGGGCCCACAGUGCAGUAGAC